This 73-nucleotide transfer RNA is filed under the name Chelonia mydas (Green sea turtle). It matches the Rfam family "tRNA". From Rfam's summary of the family: Transfer RNA (tRNA) molecules are approximately 80 nucleotides in length. Their secondary structure includes four short double-helical elements and three loops (D, anti-codon, and T loops). Further hydrogen bonds mediate the characteristic L-shaped molecular structure. tRNAs have two regions of fundamental functional importance: the anti-codon, which is responsible for specific mRNA codon recognition, and the 3' end, to which the tRNAs corresponding amino acid is attached (by aminoacyl-tRNA synthetases). tRNAs cope with the degeneracy of the genetic code in two manners: having more than one tRNA (with a specific anti-codon) for a particular amino acid; and 'wobble' base-pairing, i.e. permitting non-standard base-pairing at the 3rd anti-codon position. Lineage: Eukaryota; Metazoa; Chordata; Testudines; Cheloniidae. The record is from Rfam by way of RNAcentral.
GGUAGGGUGGCCUAGUGGGUACAGCACUGAACUGGGAUUCAGGAGACCUGGGUUCUUACUCCUGGCUCUGCCA